RNAcentral lists this transfer RNA (71 nucleotides) under Thermoplasmatales archaeon BRNA1. RNAcentral's name for it is "tRNA-Pyl". Lineage: Archaea; Methanobacteriati; Thermoplasmatota; Thermoplasmata; Thermoplasmatales. The record is from RNAcentral.
GGGGGACGAUCCGGCGAUCAGCGGGUCUCUAAAACCUAGCCAGCGGGGAUCGACACCCCGGUCUCUCGCCA